GUGAACCUGCGGAAGGAUCAUUAACGAGAGAGAGGCUUCGCGCCUCGGGGGGCUUCGGCCCCGCCUCUUCACCCCGUGCGUACCUACUUUGUUGCUUUGGCGGGCCUCGGUUCCCCCGACGUCGGCCCGGGGUUUCCCCGGGCCGGGCGCGUGCCCGCCAGAGACCGUACCCAAACCCUGUCCAUCAGUGUUCGUCUGAGUACCAAGUAAAUAACUAAAACUUUCAACAACGGAUCUCUUGGUUCUGGCAUCGAUGAAGAACGCAGCGAAAUGCGAUAAGUAAUGUGAAUUGCAGAAUUCAGUGAAUCAUCGAAUCUUUGAACGCACAUUGCGCCCCCUGGUAUUCCGGGGGGCAUGCCUGUUCGAGCGUCAUUGCAACCCUCAAGUAUCGCUUGGUGUUGGGCUUUCGUCCCUCGGACGUGCCCGAAAGUUAGUGGCGGUUCAUUGGGACCUCGAGCGCAGUCGAAAUUAUCAUCCGCUCUAGGUUCGCGUUGCGGCCGGCCAGCCAACCCCCAAUUAUUUCAAUGGU
Molecule: ribosomal RNA, 529 nt
Filed under: Lecidea fuscoatra
Lineage: Eukaryota; Fungi; Ascomycota; Lecanoromycetes; Lecideales; Lecideaceae
Description: eukaryotic LSU rRNA
Rfam family: 5.8S ribosomal RNA (bases 219-372)
Source: RNAcentral